AAUGAGAUAACUGGGUCAAAUGGUCAAGUGGUUCCAUUCCUAGUUUUUUGAGGAAUCUCCAUACUGUUUUACAGAAUGGUUGCACCAAUUUGAAGUCCUACCAGCAAU
This 108-nucleotide microRNA precursor is filed under the name Marmota monax (woodchuck). The record is from RNAcentral. Lineage: Eukaryota; Metazoa; Chordata; Mammalia; Rodentia; Sciuridae.